Molecule: ribosomal RNA, 585 nt
Filed under: uncultured bacterium
Lineage: Bacteria
Description: partial 16S ribosomal RNA
Rfam family: Bacterial small subunit ribosomal RNA
Source: RNAcentral
UGGGGAAUUUUGGACAAUGGGGGCAACCCUGAUCCAGCAAUGCCGCGUGUGUGAAGAAGGCCUUCGGGUUGUAAAGCACUUUUGUCCGGAAAGAAAACGCCGUGGUUAAUACCCGUGGCGGAUGACGGUACCGGAAGAAUAAGCACCGGCUAACUACGUGCCAGCAGCCGCGGUAAUACGUAGGGUGCAAGCGUUAAUCGGAAUUACUGGGCGUAAAGCGUGCGCAGGCGGUCCGCUAAGACAGAUGUGAAAUCCCCGGGCUCAACCUGGGAACUGCAUUGGUGACUGGCAGGCUAGAGUAUGGCAGAGGGGGGUAGAAUUCCACGUGUAGCAGUGAAAUGCGUAGAGAUGUGGAGGAAUACCGAUGGCGAAGGCAGCCCCCUGGGCCAAUACUGACGCUCAUGCACGAAAGCGUGGGGAGCAAACAGGAUUAGAUACCCUGGUAGUCCACGCCCUAAACGAUGUCAACUAGUUGUUGGGGAUUCAUUUCCUUAGUAACGUAGCUAACGCGUGAAGUUGACCGCCUGGGGAGUACGGUCGCAAGAUUAAAACUCAAAGGAAUUGACGGGGUCAUAGCUGUUUCCU